ACAGUUUUCGAGGUCCUCUACGAGUUUCGAGAAGGAAUGAUUCCCAAAUUCACACUCCAAACCCUUAGAUUUUGGCUCCGAAAACAGAUGCGGUAGCAGAUUUUAUUUCCUUUCCGGCGAGCAGGCUGAAUUUCACACCAAAUUUCGGCGACCACCGCCGAAUAAAACUGCCUUGCACCACCAUUAAUGGGAAGCUAACUUCUCGAGGUAACAGUACCUUCUAUCAUCAAUACUCCACUGUUAACACCUCCGUUCAUUUAAUUCUUUGAAGAGCCAAAAGCUGAACCCCAGAUUAUGGCCACCAUCGGCGACCUCUGCCGGAAAUUACCAACACCGGUGUACAUCUGAACUCACAAUUAUUCCAAAGAUGGAUCGACGAGAUUCAUUCUCGAAGGUCUCCAAACUAUUAUUUUUCCUUCAAACCCAAAUCUGAAAUUAUCUUUUCAAAUCCCCAAUUCUUUUCCUGUAAUCAAAUCUUCCGAAUCUCCUUUAUUGAAUUCGAAAUUUCUGGAAUAGGGGUAGGAAGUAGGGCUUGGGGAAAUUGGGUGAAAUAGGCGAAUAAUUUUUGGGGAAAACAAAAGAGGUAAGAUAAGAGGGAUUUUGGUGCAAACAUAAUGAAGAAAUUAAGAGAUAAUUUUUUCUUGAUUUUCUGUAAUAUUAUGCGAGAAUUGAUAGAGAGAGAAAGAGAGCGGAGAGAGUGAACACUGAACAGAAUGUCUCGUGAUGAAGAAACGAAAGAAA
RNAcentral lists this long non-coding RNA (741 nucleotides) under Erythranthe guttata (spotted monkey flower). Its description in RNAcentral is "long non-coding RNA (EGUT_LNC003358)". The record is from RNAcentral. Lineage: Eukaryota; Viridiplantae; Streptophyta; Magnoliopsida; Lamiales; Phrymaceae.